UGGGUGUUAAGUUAUAAGACUAUAGUAUUUCAAAUAUUGAAGAGGGAAGAAGAACCCACACCUAG
Molecule: transfer RNA, 65 nt
Filed under: Arctica islandica
Lineage: Eukaryota; Metazoa; Mollusca; Bivalvia; Venerida; Arcticidae
Description: tRNA-Trp
Source: RNAcentral